GACAGAGGUGCCGAGCGUUAGGCGGAAUCACUGGGCUUAAAGCGUGUGUAGGCGGACUUCUAAGUACCUUGUGAAAUCCCACGGCUCAACCGUGGAACUGCUUGGUAUACUGGUUGUCUUGAGCCACUUAGGGGCAGUCGGAACAGACGGUGGAGCGGUGAAAUGCGUAGAUAUCGGGAGGAACACCAGUGGCGAAGGCGACUUCCUGGCCUGUUCUUGACGCUGAGGCGCGAAAGCUAGGGUAGCAAACGGG
This 253-nucleotide ribosomal RNA is filed under the name uncultured bacterium. RNAcentral's name for it is "partial 16S ribosomal RNA". It matches the Rfam family "Bacterial small subunit ribosomal RNA", at positions 524 to 776 of the family's 1533-position model. The record is from RNAcentral.